Molecule: ribosomal RNA, 486 nt
Filed under: Salmonella enterica subsp. enterica serovar Kentucky
Lineage: Bacteria; Pseudomonadati; Pseudomonadota; Gammaproteobacteria; Enterobacterales; Enterobacteriaceae
Description: partial 23S ribosomal RNA
Rfam family: Bacterial large subunit ribosomal RNA
Source: RNAcentral
GGUUAAGCGACUAAGCGUACACGGUGGAUGCCCUGGCAGUCAGAGGCGAUGAAGGGCGUGCUAAUCUGCGAUAAGCGCCGGUAAGGUGAUAUGAACCGUUAUAACCGGCGAUACCCGAAUGGGGAAACCCAGUGUGAUUCGUCACACUAUCAUUAACUGAAUCCAUAGGUUAAUGAGGCGAACCGGGGGAACUGAAACAUCUAAGUACCCCGAGGAAAAGAAAUCAACCGAGAUUCCCCCAGUAGCGGCGAGCGAACGGGGAGGAGCCCAGAGCCUGAAUCAGCAUGUGUGUUAGUGGAAGCGUCUGGAAAGGCGCGCGAUACAGGGUGACAGCCCCGUACACAAAAGCGCAUAUGCUGUGAGCUCGAUGAGUAGGGCGGGACACGUGGUAUCCUGUCUGAAUAUGGGGGGACCAUCCUCCAAGGCUAAAUACUCCUGACUGACCGAUAGUGAACCAGUACCGUGAGGGAAAGGCGAAAAGAACCC